CGAACGCUGGCGGCGUGCCUAAUACAUGCAAGUCGAACGAACUCUGGUAUUGAUUGGUGCUUGCAUCAUGAUUUACAUUUGAGUGAGUGGCGAACUGGUGAGUAACACGUGGGAAACCUGCCCAGAAGCGGGGGAUAACACCUGGAAACAGAUGCUAAUACCGCAUAACAACUUGGACCGCAUGGUCCGAGUUUGAAAGAUGGCUUCGGCUAUCACUUUUGGAUGGUCCCGCGGCGUAUUAGCUAGAUGGUGGGGUAACGGCUCACCAUGGCAAUGAUACGUAGCCGACCUGAGAGGGUAAUCGGCCACAUUGGGACUGAGACACGGCCCAAACUCCUACGGGAGGCAGCAGUAGGGAAUCUUCCACAAUGGACGAAAGUCUGAUGGAGCAACGCCGCGUGAGUGAAGAAGGGUUUCGGCUCGUAAAACUCUGUUGUUAAAGAAGAACAUAUCUGAGAGUAACUGUUCAGGUAUUGACGGUAUUUAACCAGAAAGCCACGGCUAACUACGUGCCAGCAGCCGCGGUAAUACGUAGGUGGCAAGCGUUGUCCGGAUUUAUUGGGCGUAAAGCGAGCGCAGGCGGUUUUUUAAGUCUGAUGUGAAAGCCUUCGGCUCAACCGAAGAAGUGCAUCGGAAACUGGGAAACUUGAGUGCAGAAGAGGACAGUGGAACUCCAUGUGUAGCGGUGAAAUGCGUAGAUAUAUGGAAGAACACCAGUGGCGAAGGCGGCUGUCUGGUCUGUAACUGACGCUGAGGCUCGAAAGUAUGGGUAGCAAACAGGAUUAGAUACCCUGGUAGUCCAUACCGUAAACGAUGAAUGCUAAGUGUUGGAGGGUUUCCGCCCUUCAGUGCUGCAGCUAACGCAUUAAGCAUUCCGCCUGGGGAGUACGGCCGCAAGGCUGAAACUCAAAGGAAUUGACGGGGGCCCGCACAAGCGGUGGAGCAUGUGGUUUAAUUCGAAGCUACGCGAAGAACCUUACCAGGUCUUGACAUACUAUGCAAAUCUAAGAGAUUAGACGUUCCCUUCGGGGACAUGGAUACAGGUGGUGCAUGGUUGUCGUCAGCUCGUGUCGUGAGAUGUUGGGUUAAGUCCCGCAACGAGCGCAACCCUUAUUAUCAGUUGCCAGCAUUAAGUUGGGCACUCUGGUGAGACUGCCGGUGACAAACCGGAGGAAGGUGGGGAUGACGUCAAAUCAUCAUGCCCCUUAUGACCUGGGCUACACACGUGCUACAAUGGAUGGUACAACGAGUUGCGAACUCGCGAGAGUAAGCUAAUCUCUUAAAGCCAUUCUCAGUUCGGAUUGUAGGCUGCAACUCGCCUACAUGAAGUCGGAAUCGCUAGUAAUCGCGGAUCAGCAUGCCGCGGUGAAUACGUUCCCGGUC
Molecule: ribosomal RNA, 1383 nt
Filed under: Lactiplantibacillus plantarum
Lineage: Bacteria; Bacillati; Bacillota; Bacilli; Lactobacillales; Lactobacillaceae
Description: bacterial SSU rRNA
Rfam family: Bacterial small subunit ribosomal RNA
Source: RNAcentral